RNAcentral lists this ribosomal RNA (168 nucleotides) under Triticum aestivum (bread wheat). RNAcentral's name for it is "partial small subunit ribosomal RNA". The record is from RNAcentral. Lineage: Eukaryota; Viridiplantae; Streptophyta; Magnoliopsida; Poales; Poaceae.
AUGUCAUCCACAUGCAACAUAAAGGCCAAUUCAUACUUCGCUGGACUAUAUUGUACUACUAUGCAUUGUUUGGCACGAACGUUCCUUGAAGCCCCUGUAUACAUGUAUACGUGGGAUGUGUGUGUGCGUGCGUGCGUGCAUGAUCGAGAUAAAAUAAAGAAGACAUAA